UACGUAGGGUGCAAGCGUUGUUCGGAAUUACUGGGCGUAAAGCGCGCGUAGGCGGGUCUGAAAGUCGAUUGUGAAAUCCCUGGGCUUAACCUGGGAAUGGCAGUCGAAACUUCAGAUCUUGAAUGUCUGAGAGGAUGGCGGAAUAACCGGUGUAGUAGUGAAAUACGUAGAUAUCGGUUAGAACACCUGAGGCGAAGGCGGCUAUCUGGCGGUACAUUGACGCUAAGGCGCGAAAGCGUGGGGAGCAAACAGG
This 253-nucleotide ribosomal RNA is filed under the name uncultured bacterium. Its description in RNAcentral is "partial 16S ribosomal RNA". It matches the Rfam family "Bacterial small subunit ribosomal RNA", at positions 524 to 776 of the family's 1533-position model. The record is from RNAcentral.